CAAUCAAACCGGGAGAUAGCUGGUUCUCCCCGAAAGCUAUUUAGGUAGCGCCUCGUGAAUUCAUCUCCGGGGGUAGAGCACUGUUUCGGCUAGGGGGCCAUCCCGGCUUACCAACCCGAUGCAAACUGCGAAUACCGGAGAAUGUUAUCACGGGAGACACACGGCGGGUGCUAACGUCCGUCGUGAAGAGGGAAACAACCCAGACCGCCAGCUAAGGUCCCAAAGUCAUGGUUAAGUGGGAAACGAUGUGGGAAGGCCCAGACAGCCAGGAUGUUGGCUUAGAAGCAGCCAUCAUUUAAAGAAAGCGUAAUAGCUCACUGGUCGAGUCGGCCUGCGCGGAAGAUGUAACGGGGCUAAACCAUGCACCGAAGCUGCGGCAGCGAACGUAUCACCCAAGACAACUUUACGGAGUUGACGAUUGACGGAGCGAAGCGACGUCAAAGCGUUCAUUAAAGUCGAGUUGGCUUAGGGAUACGUUCGUUGGGUAGGGGAGCGUUCUGUAAGCCUGUGAAGGUGUGUCGUGAGGCAUGCUGGAGGUAUCAGAAGUGCGAAUGCUGACAUAAGUAACGAUAAAGCGGGUGAAAAGCCCGCUCGCCGGAAGACCAAGGGUUCCUGUCCAACGUUAAUCGGGGCAGGGUGAGUCGACCCCUAAGGCGAGGCCGAAAGGCGUAGUCGAUGGGAAACGGGUUAAUAUUCCCGUACUUGGUGUUACUGCGAAGGGGGGACGGAGAAGGCUAUGUUGGCCGGGCGACGGUUGUCCCGGUUUAAGCGUGUAGGUGUGUGUUCCAGGUAAAUCCGGUUCACUUUAACACUGAGGCGUGACGACGAGGCACUACGGUGCUGAAGCAACAAAUGCCCUGCUUCCA
This 866-nucleotide ribosomal RNA is filed under the name Salmonella enterica. RNAcentral describes it as "partial 23S ribosomal RNA". It matches the Rfam family "Bacterial large subunit ribosomal RNA", at positions 830 to 1610 of the family's 2925-position model. The record is from RNAcentral. Lineage: Bacteria; Pseudomonadati; Pseudomonadota; Gammaproteobacteria; Enterobacterales; Enterobacteriaceae. RNAcentral also lists the same sequence under 1 other name.